Leuconostoc mesenteroides subsp. mesenteroides ATCC 8293 is the source of this 246-nucleotide non-coding RNA. The record is from Rfam. Lineage: Bacteria; Bacillati; Bacillota; Bacilli; Lactobacillales; Lactobacillaceae.
AAUGAGACAAAGAAAAGAUAAGUAAAUUUUAGGGGUAAUCAAAGAGAGCUAACAUUUGGUGAAAGUUAGUAUUACGAAUGAAUUGAAAAUGGUCUUGGAGUCGUUAGUGGUAUAAGCAUGUUCGUGAAUACCGCUCGGGUGCGCCCGUUAUCGCGUUAAGGUAUCUCUCUUUUGAUGUACCUGUCAAGUAUAAAGUAGUGAUACUUUAUAGAAUUUGGGUGGUAACACGAGUUUUUCGUCCCAUAA